GAGGGAAGCGGGGAUGAACGUCAAAUCAGCACGGCCCUUACGGUCCAGGGCUACACACGUGACUACAACUGGCCGGUACAAAGGGCAGCUACCUGGUGACAGGAUGCUAAUCUCAAAAGCCGGUCUCAGUUCGGAUCGGAGUCUGCAACCCGACUCCGUGAAGUUGGAUUCGCUAGUAAUCGCGCAUCAGCCAUGGCGCGGUGAAUACGUUCCCGGGCCUU
RNAcentral lists this ribosomal RNA (221 nucleotides) under uncultured Sphingobacteriales bacterium. Its description in RNAcentral is "partial 16S ribosomal RNA". It matches the Rfam family "Bacterial small subunit ribosomal RNA", at positions 1166 to 1382 of the family's 1533-position model. Lineage: Bacteria; Pseudomonadati; Bacteroidota; Sphingobacteriia; Sphingobacteriales. The record is from RNAcentral.